This is a non-coding RNA of Cinara cedri, 219 nucleotides long. The record is from the annotation of a GenBank genome assembly. NCBI's taxonomy places the organism in Eukaryota, Metazoa, Arthropoda, Insecta, Hemiptera, Aphididae.
CUUUAUUCCGAUUAUUUGGAGUCGGCCACCCUCAUUUUAAACUUCCAAUUGACUAUCUCCCACAUCGUGCUUGCAUGUUUCAUACACCCACCAUCCUCAUAUUCUUACUUGCAUCCAACCACCUUUUUUUCAUUCUUCCUCCUAUGUUCGUUUACAUUAUAAUUCUUUCUGCUUCUGAUCAUUUUCUUUCAUUUUGUCCACUAUCAAAGCCACACCAAA